This 214-nucleotide long non-coding RNA is filed under the name Elaeis guineensis (African oil palm). RNAcentral describes it as "long non-coding RNA (EGUI_LNC037191)". Lineage: Eukaryota; Viridiplantae; Streptophyta; Magnoliopsida; Arecales; Arecaceae. The record is from RNAcentral.
AGCAGCCACACAACAUAGGAAUCAAUUCUUUUAAUUGUAGAUAGCUCAGUUAUGUAUAGACAAUCCUAACUGUACAGUGAUGACUUAGCCACACUUGUACGAAAAUCUGACAGACAUGUAUCGGUAUAUUCAACAUGCAUAGUCAAUGAUGUGUGGUUCUUAACGAAAAAUUGCGAUUGCGAUCGAACCACACAGAAUUGUGGAAUGAGCAUGG